Molecule: long non-coding RNA, 602 nt
Organism: Poecilia latipinna (sailfin molly)
Lineage: Eukaryota; Metazoa; Chordata; Actinopteri; Cyprinodontiformes; Poeciliidae
Exons: 2
Source: RefSeq, a predicted model, not a curated record
AGAAGCUGGACGCAGACUCGGAGUCGGGGGAGAAAGUGAUGAAAAAGCCAGGGAGAGAGUCAAUAGAAAGGGGAAAAAGGGAGACAAAAAAGAGACAGAAUUACUCAAAGUACGCGCAAUCAUUUCUGUUUUCACAAUAAAAAAGUUCAAUUAAUCCUUCAUUUGUUGAUUGCAUUCACAUGCAAAAAGUGACAAACAUAAUUUCGACGAAAUGAAAAGUCCACCCCAUCGAUGUUUUAGGCAUUUUAACAAUAAUUCUAAUAAUAACGCCCCUUAUUUAUCCCGGGACGCCCUAUUGAGAUGUUGCAACGAGUCCUGAUUAAGACAGAAGCAUGAACAUGAACUAAAACAGUGUCACACACACAAAAAAAGAUAGAAACAAAGCAAUUACAGUAAUAAUACCAAAAAAGACAAAAUAGGCUGUUAAACAUUUGGGAACACCUUUCGUUCAGAGCAGUUUAUAGAAAAUUAAAAAUCUCAAGAUAGAGAGAGAGAGAGAGAGAGAGAGAGAGAGAGAGAGAGAGAGAGAGAGAGAGAGAAUCAUCACAAAGUGUAAUGCAGCUAAGUCAAGUCUUUUCAAGUAAGACUGUUGAAAUGAAAUG